UUGGGAUAACCCCGGGAAACCGGGGCUAAUACCGAAUAUGACCUCCGAUCGCAUGGUCGGUGGUGGAAAGUUUUUCGGCUUGGGAUGGGCUCGCGGCCUAUCAGCUUGUUGGUGGGGUGAUGGCCUACCAAGGCGACGACGGGUAGCCGGCCUGAGAGGGCGACCGGCCACACUGGGACUGAGACACGGCCCAGACUCCUACGGGAGGCAGCAGUGGGGAAUAUUGCACAAUGGGCGGAAGCCUGAUGCAGCGACGCCGCGUGAGGGAUGACGGCCUUCGGGUUGUAAACCUCUUUCAGCAGGGACGAAGCGUAAGUGACGGUACCUGCAGAAGAAGCGCCGGCCAACUACGUGCCAGCAGCCGCGGUAAGACGUAGGGCGCGAGCGUUGUCCGGAUUUAUUGGGCGUAAAGAGCUCGUAGGCGGCUUGUCGCGUCGACCGUGAAAACCUGGGGCUCAACCCCAGGUCUGCGGUCGAUACGGGCAGGCUAGAGUUCGGUAGGGGAGACUGGAAUUCCUGGUGUAGCGGUGAAAUGCGCAGAUAUCAGGAGGAACACCGGUGGCGAAGGCGGGUCUCUGGGCCGAUACUGACGCUGAGGAGCGAAAGCGUGGGGAGCGAACA
This 621-nucleotide ribosomal RNA is filed under the name uncultured Micromonospora sp. RNAcentral's name for it is "bacterial SSU rRNA". It matches the Rfam family "Bacterial small subunit ribosomal RNA", at positions 138 to 774 of the family's 1533-position model. Lineage: Bacteria; Bacillati; Actinomycetota; Actinomycetes; Micromonosporales; Micromonosporaceae. The record is from RNAcentral.